Molecule: ribosomal RNA, 2918 nt
Filed under: Salmonella enterica subsp. enterica serovar Adjame
Lineage: Bacteria; Pseudomonadati; Pseudomonadota; Gammaproteobacteria; Enterobacterales; Enterobacteriaceae
Description: 23S ribosomal RNA
Rfam family: Bacterial large subunit ribosomal RNA
Source: RNAcentral
GGGUUGUGAGGUUAAGCGACUAAGCGUACACGGUGGAUGCCCGGCAGUCAGAGGCGAUGAAGGGCGUGCUAAUCUGCGAUAAGCGCCGGUAAGGUGAUAUGAACCGUUAUAACCGGCGAUACCCGAAUGGGGAAACCCAGUGUGAUUCGUCACACUAUCAUUAACUGAAUCCAUAGGUUAAUGAGGCGAACCGGGGGAACUGAAACAUCUAAGUACCCCGAGGAAAAGAAAUCAACCGAGAUUCCCCCAGUAGCGGCGAGCGAACGGGGAGGAGCCCAGAGCCUGAAUCAGCAUGUGUGUUAGUGGAAGCGUCUGGAAAGGCGCGCGAUACAGGGUGACAGCCCCGUACACAAAAGCGCAUGUGCUGUGAGCUCGAUGAGUAGGGCGGGACACGUGGUAUCCUGUCUGAAUAUGGGGACCAUCCUCCAAGGCUAAAUACUCCUGACUGACCGAUAGUGAACCAGUACCGUGAGGGAAAGGCGAAAAGAACCCCGGCGAGGGGAGUGAAAAAGAACCUGAAACCGUGUACGUACAAGCAGUGGGAGCACCCUUCGGGGUGUGACUGCGUACCUUUUGUAUAAUGGGUCAGCGACUUAUAUUCUGUAGCAAGGUUAACCGUAUAGGGGAGCCGCAGGGAAACCGAGUCUUAAUUGGGCGUUAAGUUGCAGGGUAUAGACCCGAAACCCGGUGAUCUAGCCAUGGGCAGGUUGAAGGUUGGGUAACACUAACUGGAGGACCGAACCGACUAAUGUUGAAAAAUUAGCGGAUGACCUGUGGCUGGGGGUGAAAGGCCAAUCAAACCGGGAGAUAGCUGGUUCUCCCCGAAAGCUAUUUAGGUAGCGCCUCGUGAAUUCAUCUCCGGGGGUAGAGCACUGUUUCGGCUAGGGGCCAUCCCGGCUUACCAACCCGAUGCAAACUGCGAAUACCGGAGAAUGUUAUCACGGGAGACACACGGCGGGUGCUAACGUCCGUCGUGAAGAGGGAAACAACCCAGACCGCCAGCUAAGGUCCCAAAGUCAUGGUUAAGUGGGAAACGAUGUGGGAAGGCCCAGACAGCCAGGAUGUUGGCUUAGAAGCAGCCAUCAUUUAAAGAAAGCGUAAUAGCUCACUGGUCGAGUCGGCCUGCGCGGAAGAUGUAACGGGGCUAAACCAUGCACCGAAGCUGCGGCAGCGACACUGUGUGUUGUUGGGUAGGGGAGCGUUCUGUAAGCCUGCGAAGGUGGCCUGUGAGGGUUGCUGGAGGUAUCAGAAGUGCGAAUGCUGACAUAAGUAACGAUAAAGCGGGUGAAAAGCCCGCUCGCCGGAAGACCAAGGGUUCCUGUCCAACGUUAAUCGGGGCAGGGUGAGUCGACCCCUAAGGCGAGGCCGAAAGGCGUAGUCGAUGGGAAACGGGUUAAUAUUCCCGUACUUGGUGUUACUGCGAAGGGGGGACGGAGAAGGCUAUGUUGGCCGGGCGACGGUUGUCCCGGUUUAAGCGUGUAGGUGUGUGUUCCGUAAAUCCGGUUCACUUUAACACUGAGGCGUGACGACGAGGCACUACGGUGCUGAAGCAACAAAUGCCCUGCUUCCAGGAAAAGCCUCUAAGCAUCAGGUAACAUCAAAUCGUACCCCAAACCGACACAGGUGGUCAGGUAGAGAAUACCAAGGCGCUUGAGAGAACUCGGGUGAAGGAACUAGGCAAAAUGGUGCCGUAACUUCGGGAGAAGGCACGCUGACACGUAGGUGAAGUGAUUUACUCAUGGAGCUGAAGUCAGUCGAAGAUACCAGCUGGCUGCAACUGUUUAUUAAAAACACAGCACUGUGCAAACACGAAAGUGGACGUAUACGGUGUGACGCCUGCCCGGUGCCGGAAGGUUAAUUGAUGGGGUCAGCGCAAGCGAAGCUCCUGAUCGAAGCCCCGGUAAACGGCGGCCGUAACUAUAACGGUCCUAAGGUAGCGAAAUUCCUUGUCGGGUAAGUUCCGACCUGCACGAAUGGCGUAAUGAUGGCCAGGCUGUCUCCACCCGAGACUCAGUGAAAUUGAACUCGCUGUGAAGAUGCAGUGUACCCGCGGCAAGACGGAAAGACCCCGUGAACCUUUACUAUAGCUUGACACUGAACAUUGAGCCUUGAUGUGUAGGAUAGGUGGGAGGCUUUGAAGCGUGGACGCCAGUCUGCGUGGAGCCGACCUUGAAAUACCACCCUUUAAUGUUUGAUGUUCUAACGUGGACCCGUAAUCCGGGUUGCGGACAGUGUCUGGUGGGUAGUUUGACUGGGGCGGUCUCCUCCUAAAGAGUAACGGAGGAGCACGAAGGUUGGCUAAUCCUCGGUCGGACAUCAGGAGGUUAGUGCAAUGGCAUAAGCCAGCUUGACUGCGAGCGUGACGGCGCGAGCAGGUGCGAAAGCAGGUCAUAGUGAUCCGGUGGUUCUGAAUGGAAGGGCCAUCGCUCAACGGAUAAAAGGUACUCCGGGGAUAACAGGCUGAUACCGCCCAAGAGUUCAUAUCGACGGCGGUGUUUGGCACCUCGAUGUCGGCUCAUCACAUCCGGGCUGAAGUAGGUCCCAAGGGUAUGGCUGUUCGCCAUUUAAAGUGGUACGCGAGCUGGGUUUAGAACGUCGUGAGACAGUUCGGUCCCUAUUUUGCCGUGGGCGCUGGAGAACUGAGGGGGCUGCUCCUAGUACGAGAGGACCGGAGUGGACGCAUCACUGGUGUUCGGGUUGUCAUGCCAAUGGCACUGCCCGGUAGCUAAAUGCGGAAGAGAUAAGUGCUGAAAGCAUCUAAGCACGAAACUUGCCCCGAGAUGAGUUCUCCCUGAGACUUAAAGUCUCCUGAAGGAACGUUGAAGACGACGACGUUGAUAGGCCGGGUGUGUAAGCGCAGCGAUGCGUUGAGCUAACCGGUACUAAUGAACCGUGAGGCUUAACCUACAACGCCGAAG